CUGGCGGCAUGCCUUACACAUGCAAGUCGAACGGCAGCACGGGAGCAAUCCUGGUGGNGAGUGGCGAACGGGUGAGUAAUAUAUCGGAACGUGCCCGGUCGUGGGGAUAACGUAGCGAAAGCUACGCUAAUACCGCAUACGAUCUACGGAUGAAAGCGGGGGAUCGCAAGACCUCGCGCGAUUGGAGCGGCCGAUAUCAGAUUAGGUAGUUGGUGAGGUAAAGGCUCACCAAGCCGACGAUCUGUAGCUGGUCUGAGAGGACGACCAGCCACACUGGGACUGAGACACGGCCCAGACUCCUACGGGAGGCAGCAGUGGGGAAUUUUGGACAAUGGGCGCAAGCCUGAUCCAGCAAUGCCGCGUGCAGGAUGAAGGCCUUCGGGUUGUAAACUGCUUUUGUACGGAACGAAACGGUGAGCUCUAAUACAGUUUGCUAAUGACGGUACCGUAAGAAUAAGCACCGGCUAACUACGUG
RNAcentral lists this ribosomal RNA (475 nucleotides) under uncultured bacterium. Its description in RNAcentral is "bacterial SSU rRNA". It matches the Rfam family "Bacterial small subunit ribosomal RNA", at positions 36 to 507 of the family's 1533-position model. The record is from RNAcentral.